Erinaceus europaeus (western European hedgehog) is the source of this 337-nucleotide long non-coding RNA. RefSeq lists it as uncharacterized. The transcript has 3 exons. The record is from RefSeq and is a predicted model, not a curated record. Lineage: Eukaryota; Metazoa; Chordata; Mammalia; Eulipotyphla; Erinaceidae.
UCUCAUGCAGACCCACAGUGAUUUGAGUGGGCCCACAUGUGAUGAUCAACAAGUCCUCACUCUCACUCCCAUUUCCACACAUCCAACAGAUGAGCUAAAGAUGGUUCAGGUCAAGUUCACUCACAAGGACAAAGAGAAAUUGAGAGAGGAAGAGGAGAUAGAAAGAGAGAUACCUGCAGACCCACUUCACCACUUGUGAAGCUUCACUUCUGCAGGUGGGGACCAGGGGCUUGAACACAGGUCUUUGCACAUGUCUCACCAGGGCUGGGAUGCUUGUCACUUUCAUCCAUGGUGUGUCCCCAUGGCUCAGCACAGUCUCAGGAAUUUGGUACUUCAG